Molecule: ribosomal RNA, 253 nt
Filed under: uncultured bacterium
Lineage: Bacteria
Description: partial 16S ribosomal RNA
Rfam family: Bacterial small subunit ribosomal RNA
Source: RNAcentral
UACGGGGGGGGCAAGCGUUGUUCGGAAUCACUGGGCGUAAAGCGCACGUAGGCGGACUCUUAAGUCGGUGGUGAAAUCCUGGAGCUCAACUCCAGAACUGCCUUCGAUACUGAGAGUCUCGAGUCCGAGAGAGGUGAGUGGAACUGCGAGUGUAGAGGUGAAAUUCGUAGAUAUUCGCAAGAACACCAGUGGCGAAGGCGGCUCACUGGCUCGGUACUGACGCUGAGGUGCGAAAGCGUGGGGAGCAAACAGG